AUGGAAACCCACCAAGAGGAUGGAGGAUCCCCCCCAACAUCCCACUCUGUAGGAUCGGAAAAUUGUUGUGGUUCUGUGUUUGCCAACCGUGGUACUACAACAACAACCAGCACUGUGGAAAUAUCAAGUCGUGGAUCUUUGCCUGAAGCGCAGGAGCCUCAGGUUGACAGCCCGGUCACGGAAGAAGCUGCUACUACAACAUCCUUUACCAGACCUGUUGCGGCUUUCGCUAUCAGUGUUCAAAAACAGUGCCACUAAUCACAGAGAACGGUCAAACAUAUCAUCUCAGGAGUGCAACAAUAUCAGGCAGUUCUUGUGGAUAUGCUCAAGCAAAAAUUGAGGACAGUGUUUGAAGAUCAUGCCGAGAGAACCACUCAGCUUCAAGAUGAGGCGUUGGCUACAUUUGAUAAGUUCAUGGAUCCUUUCUCCAACAUUGCUAUGGACAGAGUUGAGCCAUAGGGGAACUGUUCAGCCCAGUCAACGCAUAGGAAGUAGUAGUAUCCCAGAAGAUUUGUUAGGUAAAGCAAGGUCUUUGAAGGGUCAUGUCCAUAAGCAACAAAAGUUUUUACUACGUACCAUUAAUUGAAGGUGUAAAGCAGUUAUUGACUGAUGAGAGAAUCUGUUGAACACUGCACCACAAAGAAGCAGAGAGGCAUUCUUCUAUGAUUUAACAAACGGAUCCCUCUUUACAUCUCACCCCAUAUUUACAGCCCAAAUGCAUUGCAAUUAAUACUUUACACAAUUAUAAUGUGUAACCCCUUAGGGUCCCAUGCUUCUGUAAACACAUUGGUUAUGUUUUAUUGUACUUUAGAAAAUAUUGAUUCAAAAUUUAGGUCAAAGUUAGCUGCAAUAUGACUUUAUUGCUAUCGCUAAGGAAAAUUACAUUGCUCAGUGGGGCGUUGAUGUUGUACUGAAAAGAAUUCUUCAAGAUCUAUCAGUGCUUUACAAUGGUGUAAGGAUUGAAAUGUCAAAUGGUGAAAUUAAAUAGUUUGGUGUUUUUUAUAGCCAGUUGCGGAAACAUGCUAUCCCAGCAUGAGAUUGCUGGCUUUAAAGAAGGGAUUGGUUUUGCUUAUAGCAAAUGUAGACACUGUGAAUACAACAACAACAAAUUGAAACAGUCUUGUGGACAGAUGCUGAUUCUUUUGAAAAUACUUAAUUAUGAUAGUUCAGAUAAGUUCCUGCUCCCAUUAUUUUUUUACAAACUGUAUUGCAACUGAAAAGUAAGAUUGAGGAACACCUGUAUCAGUUCAUGCUACAGAAUUAGCACAUGAGCUCAUUGAUUAUACUUUAUACUGUUCUAGUAGUUUCAGGGAAAUUGUGUUUGUGCCAAUAACAUAGAGUCUUUCUGAUAUCAUUUCCCAUAGAAAUCAGCCUUAAGAUUAGGGCUGCACCAAAGGAUUUUCUUAGUGUAGUGUUCUGAUGUCGGUUAACAAACCCUCAUCAAAUGUUCCCUAAACCAAUGUUAGUGUUGUGCCACAAUAAUGCUGGCAUGCUGGGACAAACAGCUGUCUCUGAAAUGAGAUUUGUAUCAUAGAUUUUGGUAAAAUGUUUUCUCUUUUAUGUAAACAUUUGAAGUCAGACAUGAUUUUUCAAUAAAUCAUGUUUUCA
This is a long non-coding RNA of Oreochromis niloticus (Nile tilapia), 1608 nucleotides long. Lineage: Eukaryota; Metazoa; Chordata; Actinopteri; Cichliformes; Cichlidae. The record is from Ensembl.